This is a long non-coding RNA of Enhydra lutris kenyoni (northern sea otter), 307 nucleotides long. RefSeq lists it as uncharacterized. The record is from RefSeq and is a predicted model, not a curated record. The transcript has 2 exons. NCBI's taxonomy places the organism in Eukaryota, Metazoa, Chordata, Mammalia, Carnivora, Mustelidae.
GUAUGCUGUGCUGGUCAGUGCCCUGGUGCUGAUGGCCAAGGUCAAGAGAAAGGGUUCCUGAAACCACCUCAGAGGCAGAGGCGGGAGCUUCCUGCUUGCUAUUCCCCAAUACGGAUUCUCCUUUUUCUACUUCUAGCCAGUGCUUCUCAAGAGCUGUUUUCAUCUCUCCACUCACCCCAAUAGUUACCCACUAUGUUCCUGAACACCUGGACGCUGAUGACCCAAACCUCCCUAACCCAGGGGGACCCCUAGUGUGACUAAAUUGACUAUUGACUGAAUCAAUAAAAAUGAUGUGUUCUGGCUUGAC